RNAcentral lists this long non-coding RNA (5168 nucleotides) under Sus scrofa (pig). Its description in RNAcentral is "lncRNA (ENSSSCG00015014811.1)". Lineage: Eukaryota; Metazoa; Chordata; Mammalia; Artiodactyla; Suidae. The record is from RNAcentral.
GGUCACCAUGCUGUACAGUAGAAAUAACAUAUGUAAUGUAUAAAUAAAUGAUAAAAAAAUCAUCAAAAUACUGUGAGUCCACAAAGUUCUCUAGGGUAAAUGACUUCUACAUGGUUACUGAAUACUCCAGGAUGCUUUAAUUUUGUAAAGAUUUAACCUUGUCUCGUGGUCAAGUUCUGUCCAUCUUUGGCUCAGAGCUACCACCUGCUCUGAAUUACAGAAGACCAUGUGUUUUUAUUACAUUUCAUUUGUUACACUAUUUAUGAUCAUUUCAGUAUAUCCACAACUACAGAUUGAGUAAAGAGAAUGAAGAAUGGAAAAAGCUAUUUUUUAACACAUCCAACAGGGGAAUGACCCUUUCGGUGUUGUUUCUUUGACCAGUGCAAGUUAUAUGAACAUACCUGAGCUCCGGCAGUGAAAGUAGAAUCCUAUAUGGUUGGACUGGACAGAAGACAAAAACCAUGAAUGAAUGCUAGUUGAUUAUGUUAUAUAUAUCAUUAUACUAGUUCACUGCAACAUACUUGAACAUGUUUUUCCUAAAAAACAAAUAUACUCUAUCCUCAAUUUUAUUUUCAUAUACUCCAUCUUCUGACACAACUUUUUAUCAUCUUGGCUCACUCUCCGUACUACUCCAACUGCAACACUUCUUUGGCUACACUGAGACCUAUCAUUCAUUGCUCAAACUACUUUUUCACUCUCUCUCAUAUCCGCUCAUCUUCUUAUAUCACAUCUUAACUCUGCUGGAAUAUUAUAUUCAGCAUUAUACAUGACAAACUACCUGGAUGCAUACCAAUCCCCAUCCACCAUCCUGCUUUCUUCAUUAUGCUUUAAUUGGGGGGGGGACAUUUAAAUCCAACUCUCAGUUUAUUCUGCAUCUGCACAUGCAGAGAGAAUAGAACUGACAGGUUUAUUCACUAACCUCAUUGUGCUUAGGACUAGUGUUUGCAGAGUAUCGCUGCCACCUACCUUGCUUGCCACUCUUCAUUCUUCUACUUGCUGCUUCCUUCUUGUCUCCCCAACAUUCAAGUAAUGGAAUGAUCCAUUCUAUCCUCUGCCCUUAGUUUUGUUUUGAUUUUUUUUUCUACCUACACUCUCCUUUGGCAAUCUUAUGCAUCCUCAUGUAUUUAAAUGAUAUCUAUAGAUAGAUGCUCCAAAGUUAUAUUUGCAACCUCUCUCCCAAACUUCGGGCUUUAAAACAAACUGCCACCUUGACAUCCUAUAGGAGUCAAAAAAUGACAUUUAAUCUCUGCCCCAGAUAUGUUUAUCUCACAUUGCUCUUUAUCUCAGUAAAUGAGAACUCUAUCUUAUCAAUUCAUCGGGUCAAAAAAAAUUAGAAUCAUUUUUCACCAUUCUCUGUCUUACACGCUACAUACAACUUAUCAAAACAUCCAAUUUGCCCUACGCGCAAACUACAUUUAGAAUCUGACUAUUCCUUGCUACUUUGAACACAAUUAGCCUUGUCUAAGCCUUUCUUACAAACAUCAGAGGGGAAGGAAGGAUGAGUUAUGGAAGAAGGAGAAAGAGAAGGAAGGGAAUCGUUAUCUAGGCCCUUGUUUUGAGAUCACAUCAAAGUCAGGAGUGGUAAAUUGUUACAAUGGUUGGUAUGGUUUUAUUAGUGCAGGUGAAAAGCAAGAAGAGAAUGGAAAGAACUAUCUUCUUGCAAUUCAGGGAUCUGGGCCUUGCCUUCAAUUCAGACAUUUUUUUCUGCAUCCUCUCUUCUUAUUUCAUCUGCUCCAACCAUCAUGGACUUCCCACUACACCAAGGACACAAUCAGCGAUCUCUGCUCCCAGGGUCUUGGUCCCAAAGGCGUCUCCCUUCCAGGAAACUACUCUCUUCCAGUCAUUUAAUUGGCAUUCCACCUCACUUUAUUCAGCAAUGUAUCACUUUGCAUUUUUUCCAGACCAAAUAUCUAAUUUUAAACUUCUUUCCUUUUAUCUACUUACCUAUUUUUUAAAGCAACACCUGACAUAAUAUUCUAUAUUUUUGUUUAUUUAUUUGCUUAAGGGACUUUCACUCAAAUAGUUCACUGAGAAAAGGACUUACAAUUCACCACUGCAUCACUGGUGCCCAGAACAACACCUGUCACAUAUUGAGCACCAAACCAAUAUUUAAUAAAACAACAAAAAAAUAAACAAUGAAUCCAUUAUUCACAUCUUUGUUUCAUUUUAAAAAAACCAAAAUAAUCAGGAACUUAGCAUAAACCAGAGGUCUGAAAACUAUAUCCUGAAUGCCACAUUCAGGAUACUUUUUUUUUUGUCUUUUUUUUUCAUCUUUUCUAGGGCCGCACUUGCGGCAUAUGGAGGUUCCCAGGCUAGGGGUCUAAUCAGAGCUACAUCUGCCAGCCCACACCACAGCCACAGCAAUGACAGAUCUGAGCUGCAUCUGCAACCUACACCACAGCUCAUGGCAACACCAGAUCCUUAACCCACUGAGUGAGGCCAGGGAUCAAACCCACAACCUCAUGGUUCCUAGUUGAAUUUGUUAACUACUGUGCCCCGAUGGUAACUCCUUUUUUUUUUUUUUUAAUAAAUAAAGUUCACUGCAACACAUCCAUGUUCAUUCAUUUACCUUUGUCUGUGGCUACCUUUGGACUAUGCCAAGGGGACAUUAUGACCUGCAAAGUGUAAAAUAUUUACCAUCUGGCCCUUUUUAGAAAACAUGUUCCAAGCCUUGGUCUAAACUAUAAAAUACUGGCUUAAUAUCUUUUAUUUCCUUUUUUUUGGCAUCACUGCUUUUCUAUAUUUCUAAUCACUUCAAAGCAAUGCUGAGUCAACAGAAACUUUUAUUAACUUUGAAAGGGGAAAUGGAGAUAACUAUGAAGAACUGAGUGUAGGCCAUGCAACUUCAGAACAAGUAACAUUAUUAUAAGAUGUUUCUAUUUACCAUUUCUUUCUAUGACUUAAUCAGGCAUUUUUUCUGAAGUGAUAGUAAUUUAUAAAGGAAAGCUCUGAGUCUUCUUUCUUCCCAAGGUUGUGAACUACUUAGAACUAUGUUAUUUGAAUGAGAUGAGUUUGUUUAAUUUUCAUUUUUCUUCAGAUAUUUUCUUGCCAAAACCACUGCAUUCCAUACCUACAAAUAAACAUCUCAUGAAGACUCUUUCUUCUUGGAAAAUCUUUGCCUUUUACUGGAUAGAUGGGUAGAAUGCUGAAAUGGAAAGGGAGAGAUUUUCCUGGCAAAAUUCAAUUUUAUUUUAUUGUCAGUUAGCAACUUGAGCUAAUCUUAUGAUAUAAAGACUUCCCAUCAAGGAAUUUAGGUAAGAUACCUAUUUCUUAUUCCCUAGUUAAUCUGUGGUACUGAGGACUUAAAACAAAAAUUAAUCUUUAUCCUACGUGUGUGAUAUAAUUAAAACAAUUCCACAUGAAUCUAGCCUGAAAUAAAUAGUUCAAUCCUCAGGGUCAGAAAAACGUGGGUUAAAACAUUUGUUCAGCUAGUUAACGAUCAGAGACAGAGAAUAUUCCUUGCCUUUUGGAUGGUGGAUAGCAGCCUACACAUAUGUAUAGUGAAGAUUAAGGCCAUUUAACACAUUGUUGGUAUGCAACAAAUAAGAACCCCCUUCUCAGUUAUAUGUAAAACAUUUCAAAUCCUAUCCAUGCACAUUUUCAUGAAUUUUAAGGACAAGUAAUGCAGCAGCAGAUGCUUUCAGUGCCCCACAGAUCGUUGGCACUUACCACUCCCAGGUAUGGUAUUGAUUUCUUAUCACAACUACCUACAAAUCUCUAAUGACUCCUUUCCCUGACUAAAGGAAUUGCUUGGGUUUUGUGUGCAGGUCAGAGCAAAGAUACUGAGAAGCUCUCAUCUACAGGAGCAGUGGUGUGAUCCUGUCAUGUGUAACAGCGUACAAAAUGCUUGUUAUUAAUUUUUUUCGGGAUUUUACAGCCAGGUUCAUAGACACAACGUUAUCAAAAACUAAAUUGUAUAAACUUACAAUUAAAUAAAUUAUAUUAACCACAAGACUAAAAUAUGCUGAAAAACCAUCAUUUCCUAAUAAUUUUAUAUUUUACCAUUAUCUAUGCUUUUGAGACUUUUAAUGUCUUAUUUCUAUUAGUAGUGUGAAGAUUCCAUAUAACAGUGUGCUAGUCAACAACUCCUCCCAACUCCACACUCGGUGACAUCAUGUUGGAGUGUGAAAUUAGCCAUGGUAAGAGUGGUUCCAACACAAAAGACAGACUCUGAAAAUCAGGACUGUUUGUUCAGGGGCUGAUUAUUAAACAUUUACCACUGCCCAACACUUAACCGAAAUCAAAUAGGAAUUAAUGGAUAAAUGUCCAAGUUUUCUACCUCAUUGGUUGGGGAAAAUCAGAGAUGAGCUUUACAUUAUUUCCCAGACACUCCACAGGAUUGAGUUCCAAAUACUCACAGGGAUUAACAAAUACAUUAAUAAAAAAGAGAAAUGACAGUGAUGAAAUCUCAAUUGUGGUUGCCAUUUAUAAAUUAGUCUUGAUAAUAAGAGAUGUUAUUGUGGAACUAGAAUCUCUGGUGUCAUUUGGCGAUGAUAAGACUCCAGCAUAGCAGUGGCCAGUUGUUGGUAAUUAGUCAUCAGAGGCAAGGAGGAAAUAAUUAUCAUAAUAAGCAAUAAGACCAAAAUGGCAACUAGGGAGCCCUGACAUGUAGCAAUCUGUUGUAAAGGGUAUUAGAACAUGAAGUGAUAUAAUUGGGCAUCCAUUAAGGCUGUUGCUUAAUUCAUGUAAUAAAAUGCAGCUGGGCAGAAGGCUGACAAUAAGCCUUUACCCAGUUUCCAGAUGUGAAUCAGAUCUCAGACUCAAUGACAGUGGAUUAAAAGGUGUCUCUUGAACAAUACGAAAUUGUUUUCUUGAAAAAGUAACAUAUAAUUUCAUAGCAUGAAUACGUAAGCUCUAUUUAACCAAUCCUUCCUCAAAAGAAUCUAUGAGCUUUUCAGGAGUAACUAUAUUGGGGAGUUCCCUUUGUGGCUCAGCGGUUAACAAACCUGACUAGGAUCCAUGAGUAUGUAGGUUCAAUCUCUGGCCUCUAUCAGUGGGUUAAGGAUCCGGUAUUGCAGUGAGCUGUAGUGUAAGUCGCAGACUUGGCUCAGAUCUGGUGUUGCUGUGACUGUGGUGUAGGUCAACAGCUGUAGCUCUGAUUCAAUCCCUGGCCUGGGAACACCCAUAUGCCACAGGUGAGGCCCUAUAAAGCAAAAAAAAAAAAAAAA